AGGACGAACGCUGGCGGCGUGCUUAACACAUGCAAGUCGAACGAUGACCCGGGAACUUGUUCCUGGUGAUUAGUGGCGAACGGGUGAGUAACACGUGGGCAACCUGCCCCUAGCUCUGGGAUAACUGCGGGAAACUGUAGCUAAUACCGGAUGUGACACGAGACUGCAUGGUCAUCGUGUGGAAAGAUUUUUCGGCUAGGGAUGGGCCCGCGGUCUAUCAGCUUGUUGGUGGGGUAAUGGCUCACCAAGGCGACGACGGA
This 260-nucleotide ribosomal RNA is filed under the name uncultured bacterium. RNAcentral's name for it is "partial small subunit ribosomal RNA". It matches the Rfam family "Bacterial small subunit ribosomal RNA", at positions 26 to 283 of the family's 1533-position model. The record is from RNAcentral.